RNAcentral lists this long non-coding RNA (438 nucleotides) under Populus tremula. RNAcentral describes it as "long non-coding RNA (PTRE_LNC000296)". The record is from RNAcentral. Lineage: Eukaryota; Viridiplantae; Streptophyta; Magnoliopsida; Malpighiales; Salicaceae.
UCUUUCUUUUCUUUUUUUUUUUUUUUACAUCCAUAUUUACACAAAUUCAAAAUAAUUACAAGGAUUACCUUAAUUAAUUUAAAAUUUACAAAAAUAGACCUAAAACUCUAAAAAAACUAUUCUGGGAAGCAUUCUGAUUCUGCUGAACGUUGGCGGCGCGUCUCCCCACGCGCCGCCGCCACUGGCGGCGCGUGGGUUCACGCGCCGCCGAAGGAAAAAACACAGCAACAGGGGGAGAUCGUCUUCUCCCACUCAUCCUUUCGUCGCCCCUGCAAAGCAAACCUCAACACACAGCAAGCAAUUGAUUUUAAUUUUUGUUUCCUUUGUUUUCGAAAUCUGCUUCGUUUCCUCUUUUUAGAUCUGCCCCUUUCGUUUCUCUGCCUCCUCUCUUCUCCGUUAGAUCUGCUUCGCUGUGUUCGGGUGGCCGUUGGUGGAGGC